This 381-nucleotide ribosomal RNA is filed under the name uncultured marine Chaetocerotaceae. Its description in RNAcentral is "SSU rRNA". It matches the Rfam family "Eukaryotic small subunit ribosomal RNA", at positions 587 to 972 of the family's 1831-position model. The record is from RNAcentral. Lineage: Eukaryota; Bacillariophyta; Thalassiosirophyceae; Chaetocerotales; Chaetocerotaceae.
AGCUCCAAUAGCGUAUAUUAAAGUUGCUGCAGUUAAAAAGCUCGUAGUUGCAUUUCCGAGGCAAGGGAUUAGUCCGACCUUUGGUGGGUAUUUAAUCCUCUUGCCUCGUCCUUGAGUGGUGCUUCUUGGUAUUAAGUUAUCGAGGAGAUAGCCGCUCAUCGUUUACUGUGAGAAAAUUAGAGUGUUCAAAGCAGGCUUAUGCCGUUGAAUAUAUUAGCAUGGAAUAAUAAGAUAGGACCUCGGUACUAUUUUGUGGGUUUGAGAACCAAGGUAAUGAUGAAUAGGGACAGUUGGGGGUAUUCGUAUUCAGUUGUCAGAGGUGAAAGUCUUAGAUUUACGGAAGACGAACUACUGCGAAAGCAUUUACCAAGGAUGUUUUCA